UCUCCUCUUCGCCAUCGCUUGCACUGAUCGUCGCUGUGCGGCCCUCACCAUCGUCGGUGUGCGACCGUCACCAUCGUCGCUGCGCCGCUCUCACCAUCAUCAUCUCCGUGCUUCUCAUCAUCGUCUUCGCUGUGCUCACAUCAUUGAAUAGUUUGAACGGUUUCUUGGUUAGCCAGAAACAAAAAUGGUGUGAAGAAUGUAAAGAAUGAAAAGAAGACAAGGAGUAGAGAAGAAGUAGAAGAGGAAGAAGAAAGGUGAGCUGAAUUAAAUUUCUUCAGAAGACAAAGAAGAAAUACAACUAUUAUUGAAGUCAACUUGCUCUUCUGAAACAACACCCAACUCUUCUGAAACAAAAAUGGUGUGAAGAAUAUAAAGAAUGAAAAGAAGACAAGGAGUAGAGAAGAAGUAGAAGAGGAAGAAGAAAGGAAAGGGAGAUUUAAUAACAUGUUCUAAGCAAAAGAAUUCAGAGUUAUUUCACACGGUUCUUGGAGGCUUAGGACAAUUUGGAGUUAUAACAAGAGCAAGAAUUUCUCUUCACCCAGCACCCACAAAGGAUAACAAUGAAGAUUAAGCAAUGAAGAUUAAGCUUACUAUUAUUGUGGUUUAUUGGCUAAGAUAGAGUGCUAUUUAGAAUCUUUACAUGUAUGGUUGACUAAUGAUUUUUAUUAGAAGAUACCUUUAUUGGCUAAGUGAUAUUAUGGUUUUGAUAUGGCUAUGCUUACUUUAAUUUGAGUUGUAUGAAUUUUUACAGUUAAUUUCAUUCUAGUACUUUUGGAUCAAUGUUAUAAAUAUAUUUUGGUUUGAGACAA
Arachis duranensis is the source of this 809-nucleotide long non-coding RNA. RefSeq lists it as uncharacterized. Lineage: Eukaryota; Viridiplantae; Streptophyta; Magnoliopsida; Fabales; Fabaceae. The transcript is spliced from 5 exons. The record is from RefSeq and is a predicted model, not a curated record.